Molecule: long non-coding RNA, 2635 nt
Filed under: Homo sapiens (human)
Lineage: Eukaryota; Metazoa; Chordata; Mammalia; Primates; Hominidae
Description: HSALNT0193025
Source: RNAcentral
AGGCUUUAAAACAUCAGCUCUAUUUUCAAGUCAAAGAUAAAUGUGUCUACUGCUUUUCUCUGGGGUCAUCACGUUGCUGCACUCAAGGGGAAACUUCCACCAGGUCUGUCCACUCCAUAUUUUUCAUCCUUCUCCCUAUUCAGCAGGAUGCCUGGCAGGUUACUGGAACUGUGCUGGAUAUCAAAGAUAUAAUUUCUGGGGGCACAAGAAGGUCUUUUUAGUCCUUCUAGAAUAACAUGGAAAGAAAAUUCAACAAGUUAUAUGAUGAAGUGUGAUAACUAUUUUGAUAGAGGAAGUAGAAUGCUGUGGGAAUAGAGAAAAGAAUUUCUAAUCUAGACAAGAAAAAAAAAAAAAACAGAGAAUUCUUCCAAAUGAGCAGAAGAGAGCCAGGGAAGGAAGAAAGGGGCAUGUGCAAUUAGUCAACAAAAUCACAGCCCAUAACCUAACUCUGAUUGGUUCACAAAUCAGCCAACUGCUUCUAUUAACUUCUUCCCCCAGAUAUCCACUUGGUUCACUCCUUAAUUUCACUUGGGUCUUUACUCAGAUGUCACCUUUUUACUGAGGUCUUUCCUCACCACCCUAUUUAAAUUACACUACACCUCCAACACUACCAAUUUCUCUCCCCAACAUUCACCUAACUACAUAUUUUGACUGUUGUUUAUUUUUUGUCUAUUUUCUUUCAUACAAAUAGAUGCUCCCUUAGAACAAUUUUUUUCUGUUAUUUUCACUGCUAUAUCUUAAGCAUCUAAGACAGUAUUUGCAACAUAACAGGCUCUUCGUAAAUACAUUUGGGCAGUCCAUAAAUACUUGCUGCCACUAGCUGAUGAAGGAUCCAAAAUGAAUUUGUGGGACAGGGUAUGCUAAUGUUGAUGAUCUCCACCCAAAUCUUCUGAUAGUUACCAGUCUUGAUUUCAGUAAGCAAGACUUGGCAGCAGGAAAUAAUAAUAAUGUUUAAUGUUUAUUGAGUGAUCGUGGUAUGCUAGACCCUGUUAAUAAUCAAAUACAUCACUUCACAGUUUCCUCAAAAUAACUUUGGGAGGUAGGGACUAUUAUUAUCUUCAUUUUACAGAUAAGGAAAUGGAGACACAGAAUGCUAACCAACUUGCUCAAGGCCUCACACACAGACAUUUAGUCACACCUCUGAUAAGUCAGGAGCCAGGAUUUGAGCCCCAAUAAUGGAUCCAGAAGACUAACAAUCUCCAGAAACGGAACCCAUUCUGUACUCUGACAACACCGGACACUGAUGUGAAAGAUUAAAUCUAUGCUGACAAACCAUUCAUGAAAUGAUCUUUAUGGGGAAGGCAUGACAAGAGUCAAAAGGAAGAGUCUUAAGAGAUGAGUCGCUGAACAUCAUACUAUUAAGAAACAGGACAUCUUUGCUCAAUCAACAUUAGAAACAGAAGCAGUUCGCCAAGUAGCAAGUGAAAGGUGUUAUAAGCAGAUAUAGGGUCUCCCUUUGUCAUCCAGGCUGGAGUGCAGUGGCAAGACCAUAGCUCACUGCAGCCUCAAGCUCCUGUACUCAAGUGAUCCUCCUGCCUCAGCCAAGAAGCUGCGACCACAGAGACAGGCUGGACUGCAGUGGCAUGACCGUAGCUCAUUGUAACCUUGAACUCUUGGCCUCAAGCAAUCCUCCCACCUUGGAUCAUGUGUGAGCCACCCCACCUGGCCUUAGUUUAUAUUCUGUACCCUCUUUCUACCUGUUGAAGAUACCUAAUUCAGCAAGCCUAUUGCUAUUGCUUUUGUGUCAGCCAUGAAAAGAACACAAAUAGAUGGCAGAGACACCACGGUGGAAGAAACAACACACACUGCAGACACACCAACUCAGGAAGGACAGAGUCACUCUCAUUGGCUAAAUGUGUACAGUCCAGUUUGCUGAGCCAGUGCUUAUUGGCUGACUGCCUGUGAUAACAGAGCAUAGGAACAAUAUUGAUCACAGCAUAGUAUAAGAGAUUAUUAAGUAUAAUUUAUUUUAGGGAAAUAUUUCAGAGACAAAUACCAUUCUGAUGAGUCAAGCACAUAAAAUCCAUGAUAAAGAGAAUGUUUUGGAUGGGUAUGGGAGGGAGUUUCAAGGGACCCUGCCUCCUCCUGGAGGGCUGCAGUGUUGCCCUUCCAAGUUAAAACAAAAACUGCCUGGAGAAAUGCAAGGGGUCUUUGUGGGGCUCUGAAGACUUCCUGAAUCUGAAUAAAAAUGUUUCUUUAUUUGGUUAAGAAGACAAGAGUGCACAAAUCCUUGAAUCUGUCAUAGAAGGAGGGUAGUCUGAGUCUGGCGUGGCCUUCGUGUACUGUGCUGAAGAACACAGAAAUUUUUGAGAUAUUAUGCACAAAAGUAGGUUUUGGGUUACCCAAGUGCACUGUUCCUGACACUUGAAAUUGUACAUGGAGGUAGCUUAGGUGUUGCCCAAAUCAUGCAGGAAGCUUGAAGAAGAUACCUUACUCUCUUAUGCAAUGCCAAAUAUCAGACACGCACAUCUCCAAAUUUAAUAUAAAGUGCUGAGCUCUGAUAUUGAUAUAAAAUAUUAAACAUAUUUAUAAAGGUCACUUGCUGUUGGAAGUAACUGCUUGAGGAGAGGCUAAGGCUCAAGACACUUCAUGUGGGAGUGGCCAUGUACUUCAGCCAUUCUCCAUCCAAUCCACC